This 357-nucleotide ribosomal RNA is filed under the name Stomatolepas praegustator. RNAcentral describes it as "partial 12S rRNA". Lineage: Eukaryota; Metazoa; Arthropoda; Thecostraca; Balanomorpha; Coronulidae. The record is from RNAcentral.
AAACCAGGAUUAGAUACCCUGUUACCUUUCUUAAUUUUCUCCGGAUUAAUAGUAUUAAUGAAAUUUAACGGAUUUGGCGGCAAGAUAGCUUUUUAGAGGAACCUGCCCUGUGAACGAUGAACCACGAAAGCUUUACUUUAAUUGGUAAUCAGUUUGUAUACCGCUGUUGUCAGUCAGAUUUUUAAAGAUAUUUUCUUUAUUGGUACUCCCAAUGACUUCAAGUAAAGGUGCAGCUUAUAUUAAAGAUAGAGGUGGGUUACAUUUAAACGAAUAAAACGGAUUAAGUUUUUAAACAAACUUACGAAGGUGGAUUUAACUGUAAAAUUUAAUUAGAUUUGGUGAUAGCUCUAUCUUGUG